Molecule: ribosomal RNA, 506 nt
Filed under: uncultured bacterium
Lineage: Bacteria
Description: partial 16S ribosomal RNA
Rfam family: Bacterial small subunit ribosomal RNA
Source: RNAcentral
GAUGAACGCUAGCUACAGGCUUAACACAUGCAAGUCGAGGGGAAACGAGAGGGAAGCUUGCUUUCCUUGUCGACGACCGGCGCACGGGUGAGUAACGCGUAUCCAACCUGCCCCCAACUAAGGAAUAACCUUGCGAAAGUAAGACUAAUACCCUAUAAUUUCCUCAGAUGACAUCUGACGAGGAAUAAGGAUUUAUCGGUUGUGGAUGGGGAUGCGUCUGAUUAGCUUGUUGGCGGGGUAACGGCCCACCAAGGCAACGAUCAGUAGGGGUUCUGCGAGGAAGGUCCCCCACAUUGGAACUGAGACACGGUCCAAACUCCUACGGGAGGCAGCAGUGAGGAAUAUUGGUCAAUGGGCGGAAGCCUGAACCAGCCAAGUAGCGUGCAGGAUGACGGCCCUAUGGGUUGUAAACUGCUUUUAUACAGGAAUAAAGUUAGCCACGUGUGGUUAUUUGUAGGUACUGUAUGAAUAAGGACCGGCUAAUUCCGUGCCAGCCGCCGCAGUAA